UGGGGCGUAGCCAAGCGGUAAGGCACUGGUUUUUGGUACCAGCAAUCCCAGGUUCGAAUCCUGGCGCCCCAGCCA
RNAcentral lists this transfer RNA (75 nucleotides) under Gammaproteobacteria bacterium. RNAcentral's name for it is "tRNA-Gln". It matches the Rfam family "tRNA". Rfam says of the family: Transfer RNA (tRNA) molecules are approximately 80 nucleotides in length. Their secondary structure includes four short double-helical elements and three loops (D, anti-codon, and T loops). Lineage: Bacteria; Pseudomonadati; Pseudomonadota; Gammaproteobacteria. RNAcentral also lists the same sequence under 1 other name. The record is from RNAcentral.